UAAGUAAGCGGAGGAUAAGAAACUAAAUAGGAUUCCCUCAGUAAUGGCGAAUGAACAGGGAUAAGCUCAGCAUGGAAAUUGGGGCCCUCGGCCUUGAAUUGUAGUCUUGAGAUGUGUUACCAACGGAGGCGCAGAUGUAAGCCUCUUGGAAAAGAGCGUCAGGGAGGGUGAGAGUCCCGUAUGUCAUCUGCAGUUCUCUGUGCACGGUGCAUGUUCUAAGAGUCACGUUCCUCGGGAUUGGAGCGCAAAUUGGGUGGUAAAUUUCAUCUAAAGCUAAAUAUUGGUUCGAGACCGAUAGCAAACAAGUACCAUGAGGGAAAGGUGAAAAGGACUUUGAAAAGAGAGUUAAAAGUGCUGAAAUUGCUGAAAGGGAAGCGAAUGGAACCAGUUGUUCUUGGUGAGUAUUGGUGUUGUCUAAAGUGAUGGCUUGCCACUUCAACGCAAGUGUGGUGGCAGGUUUUGAUCUGGAUGCGAUACUGCUUCUCGCCUUGCAUGUCAACGUCAGUUCAUAAUUGAGGAAAACUCUAAGGACAUGGUAAUUCGCUUCCGAGUGACUGAAUGUCCUCAGUUGAACUCAUUUUUGAACUGCUCUCUGUGUGUCUGGUAGCACUGCUUCAUGUGCUUGCCUGCGAUCUUCUGCUCUGCAUGAAGGUUGUUGGUGCCAGGAGCAUGUCCUUGACAUUAGAACGAUGACGAAAUGGUUUUAUUCGACCCG
This 715-nucleotide ribosomal RNA is filed under the name Karenia mikimotoi. RNAcentral's name for it is "LSU rRNA". It matches the Rfam family "Eukaryotic large subunit ribosomal RNA", at positions 43 to 651 of the family's 3401-position model. Lineage: Eukaryota; Dinophyceae; Gymnodiniales; Kareniaceae. The record is from RNAcentral.